CCCUUAGAUGUUCGGGGCCGCACACGCGCUACACUGAAGGAAUCAGCACGUCUUUCUCCUUGUCCGAAAGGACUGGGUAACCCGCUGAACCUCCUUCGUGCUAGGGAUUGGGGCUUGUAAUUCUUCCCCAUGAACGAGGAAUUCCCAGUAAGCGCGAGUCAUAAGCUCGCGUUGAUUACGUCCCUGCCCUUUGUACACACCGCCCGUCGCUACUACCGAUUGGAUGGUUUAGUGAGAUCCUCGGAUUGGUCCCGGAGCGGCCUCUGGUCGUGCCGGAGUGCCGAAAAGAAUGUCGAACUUGAUCAUCUAGAGGAAGUAAAAGUCGUAACA
RNAcentral lists this ribosomal RNA (330 nucleotides) under uncultured eukaryote. Its description in RNAcentral is "partial 18S ribosomal RNA". It matches the Rfam family "Eukaryotic small subunit ribosomal RNA", at positions 1470 to 1796 of the family's 1831-position model. The record is from RNAcentral.